This is a long non-coding RNA of Hemicordylus capensis (graceful crag lizard), 1133 nucleotides long. RefSeq lists it as uncharacterized. The record is from RefSeq and is a predicted model, not a curated record. NCBI's taxonomy places the organism in Eukaryota, Metazoa, Chordata, Lepidosauria, Squamata, Cordylidae. The transcript has 3 exons.
CCCCGGGUUCCCCCUAACGCGGGUUUAUUUCCUGGUCUGGAGAGCUUUUCUUCUUCACGUGGGUUUUCUCCCAGCUGUAUGUGUCUAUUUAUAAUAAAUAGUGUGGCCAGGAAAUAAAACAAGUAUAAUCACCAGUGCGAUCGAGAUAGAUAUAGACAUAUCUUUUUGUAUGGGGCAGUGUGUGAUGUGUAUACACUUAUAUAUACACACACAUACACUACAUAUUUUUAAAUAAAAUAAAUCAUUAUUUCCACGUAUUUUCAUUUUCUUCUGGGAUUUCUUCUGGGUUUAAAGGGAAUUCCACCACCCAAUCUCGGCUAAGUGGAUUGCUUUCCAUCCCGCACUGCAUGGUUCCCCGUGGCUGUGGCAGCUGCUGUCUCCUCUUCAGACUGUAUUGCCAGCUCCUUUGAGACAUUCCUUUCGCUGUGUGUAAACUGGUUUCCGAACCUUUGGGUUGAAAAGCGGGAUACGACCUUCUUCCACUCCCCCACGAUUUGAGCUUCUACGCCCUUUUCUUCCAUGAUAACAUAUUUUGAGAGACUCAAGAAGACCAGUGCACUUAGGGGGCUGAAGGUUUAUUCCAAAUGCCCCAGCCAGCAACAGCAUCAAUUCUCAGACACCCACGGUUGCUCUUGGCUCUGUAUAUCUGUGUGUAACCGCUGCUAGGAUGGUUAUUUAUUCAGUCCGUUCAUGCUCAGAUAACAAUCCUUGAACUCAGAUUUUCUCCUCUGAUUUAUUGACACACUCGAGAGGUGAAUUUGUGGUCAAAGGACGCUGAGUCAGCCACCAAUGGGAAAAGCAAACUCUUGACUCACCUCUCGUUAAAGUCGCCACCUUUGUGUCUGGCAGGCGGAAAUUAAACAGAUAACUUCACAUACACACAACGGAGAUGCAGGAAUGGAUAACGUUUCACGGGUGAAGUGUUCGGGCUGCGCGCAGUUGUUAAAGAUAGAGGAGGCCUACCAGGAACACCCAAGUCUGGUUCAAGGGGGAUUAUGAGUGAAAGACAAAAUAGAUUUAAAAAGUCUGAAAUUUGUAUUGCAAGGGUUGGAAUUGUUUGAGAGACUUGGCCUGCUUUGUUAUCUUGUUGAUAAAGGAGAAAUUAAAAAGUAUGCCACUACGGGCCAAUCAGA